Molecule: non-coding RNA, 365 nt
Filed under: Pan troglodytes (chimpanzee)
Lineage: Eukaryota; Metazoa; Chordata; Mammalia; Primates; Hominidae
Source: RNAcentral
CAGCCAAACCUGUGUUUUUGUAUGUAAAAUAAACAUUUUAUAAAUUUCAUUAGAAUGAACAAAAUUUAAGGAAAAGACUUUUUUUUUUUUUUCCUGAGAAGACUUACCAAGGCGGCUCCAAGAAAUGAUUGGUUUGGGAUUUCCUGUGGCCAUGCAUUCCAAAACUACAGUCUGAUGAAGAGAUGUUGUUAUGUUCUGUGGACCUGCUAUAAUUGUUGCCUUAAAGGAUCUGUUAGAAACCAGUAUCUCUUGUGAAGAAUAAACAUUUAUGUGAAGUUCAACAAUGUCUUCAGUCCAGGUUUUCUUCUACUACAUUUAAACAAACUUAACCUUUAAAAUAAAAACUAUCAUCUAUUGCAUUUUAA